Long non-coding RNA from Triticum aestivum (bread wheat), 599 nucleotides. RefSeq lists it as uncharacterized. The record is from RefSeq and is a predicted model, not a curated record. The transcript is spliced from 3 exons. Lineage: Eukaryota; Viridiplantae; Streptophyta; Magnoliopsida; Poales; Poaceae.
CGAUGUAAACAGUAAAGAAAAGGGUAGUGAGGUUGAAAAAUUUGAAGGCUUAAAACAGUAGCUGCAGAAUCUUCAUUGCUUCCAGAACCAAUAUAAAAAGGCAUUUGAAUUUAUACCGGAGAGGAAAGCUGCAAUUCUGAAAGAGUUGAAGGAGUUGCUAGAGGAGUACAACUUGCCCUAUGAGGUUCUUGAAAAAGUGACAUCCCAUGCUUUGAUGUAGAAUACUCCGAUAAUAUAGUAGCUUUUGCGAAACCAAUGGUUAAAUCCCUUGAUGUGCUCAAGCCAAUCGAUCGAGCUAUCAAUGAUUGCAUGGGAAUCAACAAGAAAAAAUUGUCGAAGUGUCGUCGCAAAGUGAAUGUAAGCAGUGACUUAGUCCAGUUAACCAAUUAAGGUUCCAAAAAGAGUGGGCCUGACAUGAAUAUCCUGCCGGCGAUGAUUACCAGGAUUCCAAUGCCAGUCUUUACUAUUCUGACUUUUAUUCCUUAGAAGGGGGCUUUGUCACUGACAGAGUUCUUGAAAUGUACACUGGACAUUUCAAUGGAAUUUUCCCAUCUCUUGAUUUGCCAAGUGAAAUAUUGCAACAGUAUGAUGUUUGCAGC